Molecule: ribosomal RNA, 450 nt
Filed under: uncultured Gammaproteobacteria bacterium
Lineage: Bacteria; Pseudomonadati; Pseudomonadota; Gammaproteobacteria
Description: bacterial SSU rRNA
Rfam family: Bacterial small subunit ribosomal RNA
Source: RNAcentral
GGCCUAACACAUGCAAGUCGAGCGGAUGAGAAGAGCUUGCUCUUCGAUUCAGCGGCGGACGGGUGAGUAAUGCCUAGGAAUCUGCCUGGUAGUGGGGGACAACGUUUCGAAAGGAACGCUAAUACCGCAUACGUCCUACGGGAGAAAGCAGGGGACCUUCGGGCCUUGCGCUAUCAGAUGAGCCUAGGUCGGAUUAGCUAGUUGGUGAGGUAAUGGCUCACCAAGGCGACGAUCCGUAACUGGUCUGAGAGGAUGAUCAGUCACACUGGAACUGAGACACGGUCCAGACUCCUACGGGAGGCAGCAGUGGGGAAUAUUGGACAAUGGGCGAAAGCCUGAUCCAGCCAUGCCGCGUGUGUGAAGAAGGUCUUCGGAUUGUAAAGCACUUUAAGUUGGGAGGAAGGGCAGUAAGCGAAUACCUUGCUGUUUUGACGUUACCGACAGAAUAAG